GGGUCGUGCGCCUGGUACGUCUUCUUCUUCCUGAUCCGCCUCUUGUACUUGGGGUGAGGCGCCAGCCUCGUCACCUCCACCGCCACCGUCUUAUCGUUGACGGCGGAGACCACCCGGCCCUGCAGGCUCCUCAUGGCCCGGACGGUGAGCGGGAGGGACGUCGGCGCCCAGCGGGGAGAAGCCAAGGAGCAGGGCUUCGGGGAGGAGAAGAGAGAGGCUCUUCCCGACUGGGAGCCAUUCAGGAAUGGAGAAGCGAGGAGUUUCGGGGUGGUGCUCGGAAGUUGCAGGAGGGAG
Molecule: long non-coding RNA, 294 nt
Filed under: Spirodela polyrhiza (greater duckweed)
Lineage: Eukaryota; Viridiplantae; Streptophyta; Magnoliopsida; Alismatales; Araceae
Description: long non-coding RNA (SPOL_LNC002653)
Source: RNAcentral